UUCUACACUGGGUGGGUUUGAGUUUAAGGCUUGUUUUGGCUCACGCUGGAAGGGCGCUAAGAUCAAGGUUCCCUGGACGCCCUGUAGCUUGUUUGGGUUGGACUGCUACUGAUAGCUGAUUUGUGGUGUCAAGUUUAUGGUGGUAUUAUAUAAUUUCCUUCAAAUACAGUCAAAUCAUUUCACUGCGGUACUAUUGUUGCGACAUUGUUUUGCUGCUACCAAUGUAAUUUGUGCAGCCAUAUCUCCAUGUGAUUAUGUUUAUGAGUAUCGAAGUCAGAUACCUAAGUUCAUUGUCCUGUGGAGCCGUGGUGUUGGUAUUUGGUAUUAUACUAUUUAGCGACAGGGUAGGCACAUACUUAUAAAUGUCUAUUGAUGUUGUUGUUGCAAUAAAGAUUGUUCUUUACGUAAAUAUAUAUUUAUGGUGUGAUGAUGAUGACCAUUAUGACAUUGUUUGCAGGGUUCGCCAUGGUUCUUGAUAGGUAUGGUGCUGUUCGAAUCCGUUUUACAUGGCGGAACCGUUCUGUUAACAAAUCCACUCCAAAGACAAGUCAGAAGGUCCUCGCAGAUUGCAAGGACCAAAGGGGUUAUGGAGGUAUGGCUUUUCAUUUUGUGCAUUUGUUGGCUGUUAUGUCACGGUUGUUGCUUAUUAGCUUGCCAUUGCAUUUGUGGAUAAAAAGAGGGAGAAAAAAUAUUAAUAAAACAUUAAUGUUAUAGAUUGUCCUUAUGCUUUUGUUCUACUUAAUUAAUAUGGAGUAGUGCUUUUGUUCUACUUAAUUAUUAUGGAGUAGUUUAGGUUGGUUUAACCUUUGCUUAGCUAGUAAGUUUAGUCAGCUGCUGACCAACAUCAAUUUGAUUUUGCGUAUCUACCAUCAGCAUCUAUAAUAAAUUCAUGGUUGGUUGGAUCUUUUUUAAUUAGUAGAUAAAUUGUGCAUGUUAAUAGCGAAUAGUCAAAUUUGAUAUUUGCAUUUACUGGCAGCUGCUAUAUCUUUAUGGUCGAUUAGUAAACCAUUUUUUAUUUGUCCUUAUGCAGGAAAAUAUACUUACUUUAGUUUCUGCACUCCUCUCGAAGCGCACCAAAGGCUGAAGGUGGAUCAGCCUUGUGCAGAACUUUCAUGGGAAGACCUUGAGAAUAAAAGCAGGGCUCUGUAUAAAGAAAUUUAUUCUGUGUUGAGGUGCCAGACUGUUCUAAAGGACACAGGUGUAUGCUAAAGGACUCAGAGGUGAGCAACUGUUUUUUACCCUGUCCAUUUACGAUUACGGAACCUGGAAACACUUAAGAUAAAGGACUAUGAAGAAAUCAACACUAGUGUAGCUGAUGUUAGUCAUGCGGUGAAAAAUUAUAUGAAGGAUGGUCCAAUGAUCGGCGUAUUUGAAGUAUUUGGAAGCACAUUUGAUCAUUACGGCAAACCAAAAGACAAAUCAAACUUCUUUGAUGAUAUCUAUGUUGUUAAUCCGCAACAGCGGGGCAGGUGGACUCAUACUAUGACAAUCACAGGAUUUGGUGUCCUAGGGAAAUACCCGUUCUGGGAGUUCCAAAAUUCUUAUGGUCCCUUAUGGCGUGGAGCUGCUCGAGGGUUUGGUCAGAUCUAUGCAGUCCAUCUUUACCGUCUUUAUGGUUUUACUCUAGCCUAGUAUCAUGUUAUUUCGAGUUUGUAUUUGUAGUAUCGAGUUAGUUGUCUGCUACCUGAACAACGACAAUUUAUGUUUGUAAUGGUUUGGAUUGAGAUGGAAUGAUAUGGUAUGUUGCUUAUGAAGUAUGCUGAAAUCUCAUGAUUUGACAUUUUAUAAGUGGUUUGGCUUGGCUUA
Long non-coding RNA from Panicum virgatum (switchgrass), 1806 nucleotides. RefSeq lists it as uncharacterized. The record is from RefSeq and is a predicted model, not a curated record. NCBI's taxonomy places the organism in Eukaryota, Viridiplantae, Streptophyta, Magnoliopsida, Poales, Poaceae. The transcript is spliced from 2 exons.